RNAcentral lists this ribosomal RNA (530 nucleotides) under uncultured bacterium. Its description in RNAcentral is "partial 16S ribosomal RNA". It matches the Rfam family "Bacterial small subunit ribosomal RNA", at positions 355 to 900 of the family's 1533-position model. The record is from RNAcentral.
UGGGGAAUAUUGCACAAUGGGCGAAAGCCUGAUGCAGCAACGCCGCGUGAGUGAUGAAGGUCUUCGGAUUGUAAAGCUCUGUCUUUUGGGACGAUAAUGACGGUACCAAACGGAGGAAGCCACGGCUAACUACGUGCCAGCAGCCGCGGUAAUACGUAGGUGGCGAGCGUUGUCCGGAUUUACUGGGCGUAAAGGGUGCGUAGGCGGAUGUUUAAGUGAGAUGUGAAAUACCCGGGCUUAACUUGGGUGCUGCAUUUCAAACUGGAUAUCUAGAGUGCAGGAGAGGAGAAUGGAAUUCCUAGUGUAGCGGUGAAAUGCGUAGAGAUUAGGAAGAACACCAGUGGCGAAGGCGAUUCUCUGGACUGUAACUGACGCUGAGGCACGAAAGCGUGGGUAGCAAACAGGAUUAGAUACCCUGGUAGUCCACGCCGUAAACGAUGAGUACUAGGUGUAGGAGGUAUCGACCCCUUCUGUGCCGCAGUAAACACAUUAAGUACUCCGCCUGGGAAGUACGAUCGCAAGAUUAAAAC